CUACGGGUGGCUCCAGUGAGGAAUAUUGCACAAUGGGGGGAACCCUGAUGCAGCAACGCCGCGUGGAGGAUGACGCAUUUCGGUGUGUAAACUCCUUUUAUAUGUCAAGAAAAUGACGGUAGCAUAUGAAUAAGCGCCGGCUAACUCCGUGCCAGCAGCCGCGGUAAUACGGAGGGCGCAAGCGUUACUCGGAAUCACUGGGCGUAAAGGACGCGUAGGCGGGUUGAAAAGUCAGGUGUGAAAGCCUACAGCUUAACUGUAGAACUGCACUUGAAACUCUCAACCUAGAGUAUGGGAGGGGCAGAUGGAAUUAGUGGUGUAGGGGUAAAAUCCGUAGAUAUCACUAGGAAUACCUAAAGCGAAGGCGAUCUGCUGGAACAUUACUGACGCUAAGGCGUGAAAGCGUGGGGAGCAAACAGGAUUAGAUACCCUCGUAGUC
Molecule: ribosomal RNA, 439 nt
Filed under: uncultured bacterium
Lineage: Bacteria
Description: partial 16S ribosomal RNA
Rfam family: Bacterial small subunit ribosomal RNA
Source: RNAcentral